RNAcentral lists this small nucleolar RNA (63 nucleotides) under Aeropyrum pernix K1. RNAcentral's name for it is "APEsR8". The record is from RNAcentral. Lineage: Archaea; Thermoproteati; Thermoproteota; Thermoprotei; Acidilobales; Acidilobaceae.
GUGAUGAGUAAGGCUGGGAUUGCUGAAAGCUGUUUUGAGAUGGAGCGUGAUGAGCAGGGCUGA